AUGUCAUGGUGAGAGCAUUUCUCAACAAAUCUUUAAACCUCUCUAUGCAUCAGGAACAACUUCAUCGUUCAUUUGUUUAAAAAGACAGAUUUUAUUUUUGGACUU
Small nucleolar RNA from Cynara cardunculus var. scolymus (artichoke), 105 nucleotides. Lineage: Eukaryota; Viridiplantae; Streptophyta; Magnoliopsida; Asterales; Asteraceae. The record is from RefSeq and is a predicted model, not a curated record.